AGUGAACGCUGGCGGCAGGCCUAACACAUGCAAGUCGAACGACAACACAGUAAGCUCUCGCCCUUACGGGUGGCGAGUGGCGGACGGGUGACGCAUGCAUCGCCUUCCUCUUUUUCGUGGGGGAUUACGUAGAACCGCUUACGCUAACACCGCAUAUGUUCUACGGCUUGAUUCAAUGGAUCUUCGCACCUUGCGCGUCUGUAUUAGCCGAUGUCGGAUUAGCUAGUUGGCUGGGUAAAGGCCCACCAAGGCAACGAUCCGUAGCUGAUCUGCGAGGAUGAUCAGCCACACUGGAACUGAGACACGGUCCAGACUCCUACGGGAGGCAGCAGUGGGGAAUAUUGGGCAAUGGGCGCAAGCCUGACGCAGCCAUGCCGCGUGAGUGAAGAAGGCCUUCGGGUUGUAAAGCCCUUUUGUUGGGGAAGAAAAGCAGCAGAAUAAACCCCCGCUGUCCUGACGGUACCCAAAGAGAAAGCACCGGCUAACUUCGUG
RNAcentral lists this ribosomal RNA (492 nucleotides) under uncultured bacterium. RNAcentral describes it as "partial 16S ribosomal RNA". It matches the Rfam family "Bacterial small subunit ribosomal RNA", at positions 29 to 507 of the family's 1533-position model. The record is from RNAcentral.